This 497-nucleotide ribosomal RNA is filed under the name uncultured bacterium. RNAcentral describes it as "partial 16S ribosomal RNA". It matches the Rfam family "Bacterial small subunit ribosomal RNA", at positions 28 to 507 of the family's 1533-position model. The record is from RNAcentral.
GAUGAACGCUGGCGGCGUGCCUAAUACAUGCAAGUCGAGCGAACGGACGAGAAUCCUGCGUCUGUGAGGUUAGCGGCGGACGGGUGAGUAACAUGUGGAGAACCACAAUAUAAGACUGGGACAACUACGGGAAAGCGGAGUGAGUAGCGGAAGAUGGUAUGAACCGGAGGGGGCAAAAGUGAAAGAUGGUCUUGUUGUUAAGUAAAUAGGGUACCGCGCUGCUUAAGCGAGUUGGUAAGGUAACGGCUUACCAAGACAACGAUGCAUAGCCUACCUGAGAGAGUGAUAGGCCACACUGGAACUGGAACACGGUCCAGACUCCUACGGGAAGCAGCAGUAGGGAAUCUUCCGCAAUGGGCGAGAGCCUUACGGAGCAACGCCGCGUGAGUUGUGAAGGUCUUCCGGUCGUGAAACUCUGUUAUUAGGGAAGAACAUAUGUUUAAGUAGCUGUACACAUCUUGACGGUACCUAAUCAGAAAGCCACGGCUAACUACGUG